RNAcentral lists this unclassified non-coding RNA (1794 nucleotides) under Hevea brasiliensis (rubber tree). The record is from RNAcentral. Lineage: Eukaryota; Viridiplantae; Streptophyta; Magnoliopsida; Malpighiales; Euphorbiaceae.
UUUUUUUUCAACCCUAUAUAAAUAGGCAAAGUACCCCAAUUCUUUAUUUGAUCAAAAUUAUAAAGACACAUCACCCAAAGCUUUCCCAGGAGUGACAAAAUCCAGAGAAGCAGUACAAAAGAAGUGACAAAAAUGACAAGGGGAAAAAAAAAAACUAGAGGAUUUUCUAAUCAUACAUCAUCUCUCAGUAGAUUGUGAAAGUGAAGUCUAGAUGAGGGCUUGGAUACCAAGUUGCUGCAUCUCUCUUAGCUUCCAUAUUGGGUAGAUAGCGCCUUCCCCGAGUUCUUCUGGAUCUACUUGUUGCAUAGCCCAUGCAUAGUAAACAGUGUGGAUUGUAUCCUUGCCCCCUUCUGUUAUUGCACCAUUUCGAUCACGUACACAGUGGACUUGCUGUGUUUGGAACGCUACAAUAAUUAUUGGGGAGGUUCCCAUCAUUUUGGUCUCUCUUACUUCGACCUCUGAUACAUGUAGAAUCUUGUUAUCAAAAAAUAUACCAUGGCUCUGAAAAGCCUUGUGCUCUGCCUCACAACGAGUAAUGACUUCAGGGCUGCAGUACUUCUUCAAAGUUUCCAAGUCUCCCUUCAUGUAAGCAAUAAGGACAGGUCUAACAGCUUCCUGAACUUCAGCCACAAAAUCCAUUAAAGAGAAUGAUGGAUCUCGACGACGUAUUUCCUUCAAUGAUGCCGCGGCAUCGGUUUCUUGAAAGAUAGUAUCACUAACAUCCUGAAUUUUGUGAACAAUAGGAUUAUCACUGGUCUCCCAUCUUUCCCGCAUGUCCUCUGCUAUCUCUUGACUCUUGGUUACAACAGGCUCACUAAAGCCAGCAAAAUGCUUGAAUAAAGGAUGGCCUUGCAUCUUUUUUCUAAAUGCCUCCCAUUUUUUACUCCAUCGAGACUGCUUUGUGGGUAGAACAGCAAUGUCAGUUCUUGUGCUUGUUUCACCUUUGAAGGAAGGAGGGGGGGUAAAUUCCAGGUGUUUUCUCUUACUAGGAUUACCAUAUAACUCAUCCUUCACAACAUCAUACCCCUUCUUCACAAAGUCGGUGACCUUUGCUUCCUUCAAUCUCUGGAAGGCUAAAGAUACCUUUGAGGAAGGUACACUUGACUUAAAUUUUCCAAAAAUAGUCUCUGCAUUAUCUCCAGUCCCAGUUCGUUUGUCUGUCUCUUGACCAGAUGCGGCCUUCAUAUCAUCUUUUACAUCUGCACCAUCUUUAUCUGAAGUGCCAGUGGACUCAGAAGACUCUUCCGUCCCACUUUUAAAAGUUUCUUUGACCUCCUCUUUUGCAGCUGAAAUCUUCUCUUUAACAUUGGCAGAAACCUUUUUUGCUGUAGCUUCAGCCUCUGUCCAAACACCAUCCACAUGCUUGUACAGCUUCUCAGUUGUCCGCUUCGUUCUAACUUUCAGCUCAUCUUUCGCUCCUUUCAGUUCUUCUGCUUUCUCCUUCAGCUCCUUGACUGACUGUUGAAAUUCUUGAUUUCUAGUGGCCUCUCCUUUUACUUUCUUGGACAAUUCAUUGAAUACACCAAAUUGACGAUAACCCGAGUACCCAUUUGUCGAUGGCAACCGUAAUCUCGCACUUGAACCCUGUUGAGACGUUAGGUGAAGAAAAAGGGGCUGCCUAUAAAGGAACAAAUCUCGAACCAGCUUCCUACUAGCCAUUAAAAUUUUCCCGAGAAAUGAAGGGGUUUAUAUUUAGAGUUGAUGCUGGGUAGCUAUUUUAUAUCAUAGAUUUUCCUCCCAGAGAAAGGAAGGAGAAUGACAGGAUGUUUAGUUUUCGUUUCAACCAAACAAGCG